Molecule: ribosomal RNA, 404 nt
Filed under: bacterium
Lineage: Bacteria
Description: partial 16S ribosomal RNA
Rfam family: Bacterial small subunit ribosomal RNA
Source: RNAcentral
UGGGGAAUAUUGGACAAUGGGCGCAAGCCUGAUCCAGCCAUGCCGCGUGAGUGAUGAAGGCCUUAGGGUUGUAAAGCUCUUUUAUCCGGGAAGAUAAUGACUGUACCGGAAGAAUAAGCCCCGGCUAACUUCGUGCCAGCAGCCGCGGUAAUACGAAGGGGGCUAGCGUUGCUCGGAAUCACUGGGCGUAAAGGGCGCGUAGGCGGACAGCUAAGUCAGGUGUGAAAUCCCGAGGCUCAACCUCGGAAUUGCCGUUGAUACUGGUUGGCUUGAGAUCGGAAGAGGUAAGUGGAAUUGCGAGUGUAGAGGUGAAAUUCGUAGAUAUUCGCAGGAACACCAGUGGCGAAGGCGACUUACUGGUCCGUAUCUGACGCUGAGGCGCGAAAGCGUGGGGAGCAAACAGG